RNAcentral lists this ribosomal RNA (484 nucleotides) under uncultured bacterium. RNAcentral describes it as "partial 16S ribosomal RNA". It matches the Rfam family "Bacterial small subunit ribosomal RNA", at positions 30 to 507 of the family's 1533-position model. The record is from RNAcentral.
AUUGAACGCUGGCGGCAGGCCUAACACAUGCAAGUCGGGCGGAUGAAGGGAGCUUGCUCCUGGAUUCAGCGGCGGACGGGUGAGUAAUGCCUAGGAAUCUGCCUGGUAGUGGGGGAUAACGUCCGGAAACGGGCGCUAAUACCGCAUACGUCCUGAGGGAGAAAGUGGGGGAUCUUCGGACCUCACGCUAUCAGAUGAGCCUAGGUCGGAUUAGCUAGUUGGUGGGGUAAAGGCCUACCAAGGCGACGAUCCGUAACUGGUCUGAGAGGAUGAUCAGUCACACUGGAACUGAGACACGGUCCAGACUCCUACGGGAGGCAGCAGUGGGGAAUAUUGGACAAUGGGCGAAAGCCUGAUCCAGCCAUGCCGCGUGUGUGAAGAAGGUCUUCGGAUUGUAAAGCACUUUAAGUUGGGAGGAAGGGCAGUAAGUUAAUACCUUGCUGCUUUGACGUUACCAACAGAAUAAGCACCGGCUAACUUCGUG